Molecule: ribosomal RNA, 124 nt
Organism: Panthera pardus (leopard)
Lineage: Eukaryota; Metazoa; Chordata; Mammalia; Carnivora; Felidae
Source: Ensembl
GUCUAUGGCCAAACUACCCUGAACGCUCUCAAACUCAUCUGAUCUCAGAAGCUAAACAGGGUCAGGCCCGAUUAGUACUUGGAUGGGAGUAGUAGCAGGGAGACCAAUUGGGAGGUCGUUCAGU